GCGACAGGCUUAACACAUGCAAGUCGAGGGGUAACAGGGUAGCAAUACCGCUGACGACCGGCGCACGGGUGAGUAACGCGUAUGCAACCUGCCUAUAACUGGGGAAUAGCUCCCUGAAAGGGGAAUUAACACCGCAUAACACUAUUGAUUCGCAUGGAUUAGUAGUUAAAUGUAGCGAUACAGGUUAUAGAUGGGCAUGCGUGACAUUAGCUAGUUGGUGAGGUAACGGCUCACCAAGGCUACGAUGUCUAGGGGCUCUGAGAGGAAGGUCCCCCACACUGGUACUGAGACACGGACCAGACUCCUACGGGAGGCAGCAGUGAGGAAUAUUGGUCAAUGAGCGCAAGCCUGAACCAGCCAUGUCGCGUGCAGGAAGAACCUGCCCUAUGGGUUGUAAACUGCUUUUAUAGUAGAAGAAACACAUCUACGUGUAGAUGUCUGCCAGUAUACUAUGAAUAAGCAUCGGCUAACUCCGUGCCAGCCGCCGC
Molecule: ribosomal RNA, 488 nt
Filed under: uncultured bacterium
Lineage: Bacteria
Description: bacterial SSU rRNA
Rfam family: Bacterial small subunit ribosomal RNA
Source: RNAcentral